GAGCUGACCCUAUGGAGCAGGACUUGCUUCAGUGAGGCUUUGGUGCUCACCGAGUCUGCCCCUUGAAUGUGUCACU
RNAcentral lists this microRNA precursor (76 nucleotides) under Myotis davidii. RNAcentral's name for it is "mir-9229 microRNA precursor family". It matches the Rfam family "mir-9229 microRNA precursor family". Lineage: Eukaryota; Metazoa; Chordata; Mammalia; Chiroptera; Vespertilionidae. The record is from Rfam by way of RNAcentral.